GUUAUAUGGUCAAGUGAAGAAGCGCAUACGGUGGAUGCCUUGGCAGUCAGAGGCGAUGAAAGACGUGGUAGCCUGCGAAAAGCUUCGGGGAGUCGGCAAACAGACUGUGAUCCGGAGAUGUCUGAAUGGGGAAACCCACUGAGCACAAGCUCAGUAUCUUGCACUGAAUACAUAGGUGUAAGAGGCGAACCAGGGGAACUGAAACAUCUAAGUACCCUGAGGAAAAGAAAUCAACCGAGAUUCCCUUAGUAGUGGCGAGCGAACGGGGAUUAGCCCUUAAGUUGAUUUGAGAUUAGCGGAACGCUCUGGAAAGUGCGGCCAUAGUGGGUGAUAGCCCUGUACGCGAAAGUCUCUUUUCAAUGAAAUCGAGUAGGACGGAGCACGAGAAACUUUGUCUGAAUAUGGGGGGACCAUCCUCCAAGGCUAAAUACUACUGACUGACCGAUAGUGAACCAGUACCGUGAGGGAAAGGCGAAAAGAACCCCGGAGAGGGGAGUGAAAUAGAACCUGAAACCGUAUGCGUACAAGCAGUGGGAGCCUACUUUGUUAGGUGACUGCGUACCUUUUGUAUAAUGGGUCAGCGACUUAUAUUCAGUGGCGAGCUUAACCGAAUAGGGGAGGCGUAGCGAAAGCGAGUCUUAAUAGGGCGUUUAGUCGCUGGGUAUAGACCCGAAACCGGGCGAUCUAUCCAUGGGCAGGUUGAAGGUUAGGUAACACUGACUGGAGGACCGAACCGACUACCGUUGAAAAGUUAGCGGAUGACCUGUGGAUCGGAGUGAAAGGCUAAUCAAGCUCGGAGAUAGCUGGUUCUCCUCGAAAGCUAUUUAGGUAGCGCCUCGUGUAUCACUGCUGGGGGUAGAGCACUGUUUCGGCUAGGGGGUCAUCCCGACUUACCAAACCGAUGCAAACUCCGAAUACCGGCAAGUGUCAGCACGGGAGACACACGGCGGGUGCUAACGUCCGUCGUGAAAAGGGAAACAACCCAGACCGUCAGCUAAGGUCCCAAAGUCAUGGUUAAGUGGGAAACGAUGUGGGAAGGCUUAGACAGCUAGGAGGUUGGCUUAGAAGCAGCCAUCCUUUAAAGAAAGCGUAAUAGCUCACUAGUCGAGUCGGCCUGCGCGGAAGAUGUAACGGGGCUCAAACCAUGCACCGAAGCUACGGGUUCAACGCAAGUUGAGCGGUAGAGGAGCGUUCUGUAAGCCUGUGAAGGUGAGUUGAGAAGCUUGCUGGAGGUAUCAGAAGUGCGAAUGCUGACAUGAGUAACGACAAUGCGAGUGAAAAACUCGCACGCCGAAAGACCAAGGGUUCCUGCGCAACGUUAAUCGACGCAGGGUGAGUCGGUCCCUAAGGCGAGGCUGAAGAGCGUAGUCGAUGGGAAACGGGUUAAUAUUCCCGUACUUCUAGUUACUGCGAUGGGGGGACGGAGAAGGCUAGGCCAGCAAGGCGUUGGUUGUCCUUGUUUAAGGUGGUAGGCAGAGAUCUUAGGUAAAUCCGGGGUCUUAAUGCCGAGAGCUGAUGACGAGCUUUCUUUUAGAAAGCGAAGUGGUUGAUGCCAUGCUUCCAGGAAAAGCCUCUAAGCUUCAGGUAACUAGGAACCGUACCCCAAACCGACACAGGUGGUUGGGUAGAGAAUACCAAGGCGCUUGAGAGAACUCGGGUGAAGGAACUAGGCAAAAUGGCACCGUAACUUCGGGAGAAGGUGCGCCGGUGAGGGUGAAUGAUUUACUCAGUAAGCCCAUGCCGGUCGAAGAUACCAGGCCGCUGCGACUGUUUAUUAAAAACACAGCACUCUGCAAACACGAAAGUGGACGUAUAGGGUGUGACGCCUGCCCGGUGCCGGAAGGUUAAUUGAUGGGGUUAGCGCAAGCGAAGCUCUUGAUCGAAGCCCCGGUAAACGGCGGCCGUAACUAUAACGGUCCUAAGGUAGCGAAAUUCCUUGUCGGGUAAGUUCCGACCUGCACGAAUGGCGUAACGAUGGCGGCGCUGUCUCCACCCGAGACUCAGUGAAAUUGAAAUCGCUGUGAAGAUGCAGUGUAUCCGCGGCUAGACGGAAAGACCCCGUGAACCUUUACUAUAGCUUUGCACUGGACUUUGAAUUUGCUUGUGUAGGAUAGGUGGGAGGCUUUGAAGCGUGGACGCCAGUUCGCGUGGAGCCAUCCUUGAAAUACCACCCUGGCAACUUUGAGGUUCUAACUCUGGUCCGUUAUCCGGAUCGAGGACAGUGUAUGGUGGGUAGUUUGACUGGGGCGGUCUCCUCCUAAAGAGUAACGGAGGAGUACGAAGGUGCGCUCAGACCGGUCGGAAAUCGGUCGCAGAGUAUAAAGGCAAAAGCGCGCUUGACUGCGAGACAGACACGUCGAGCAGGUACGAAAGUAGGUCUUAGUGAUCCGGUGGUUCUGUAUGGAAGGGCCAUCGCUCAACGGAUAAAAGGUACUCCGGGGAUAACAGGCUGAUACCGCCCAAGAGUUCAUAUCGACGGCGGUGUUUGGCACCUCGAUGUCGGCUCAUCACAUCCUGGGGCUGAAGCCGGUCCCAAGGGUAUGGCUGUUCGCCAUUUAAAGUGGUACGCGAGCUGGGUUUAGAACGUCGUGAGACAGUUCGGUCCCUAUCUGCCGUGGACGUUUGAGAUUUGAGAGGGGCUGCUCCUAGUACGAGAGGACCGGAGUGGACGAACCUCUGGUGUUCCGGUUGUCACGCCAGUGGCACUGCCGGGUAGCUAUGUUCGGAAGAGAUAACCGCUGAAAGCAUCUAAGCGGGAAACUCGCCUCAAGAUGAGAUCUCACUGGAGCCUUGAGCUCCCUGAAGGGCCGUUGAAGACUACGACGUUGAUAGGCUGGGUGUGUAAGCGUUGUGAGGCGUUGAGCUAACCAGUACUAAUUGCCCGUGAGGCUUGACCAUAUAACACCCAAACAAUU
RNAcentral lists this ribosomal RNA (2915 nucleotides) under Stutzerimonas degradans. RNAcentral's name for it is "23S ribosomal RNA". It matches the Rfam family "Bacterial large subunit ribosomal RNA". The record is from RNAcentral. Lineage: Bacteria; Pseudomonadati; Pseudomonadota; Gammaproteobacteria; Pseudomonadales; Pseudomonadaceae.